RNAcentral lists this ribosomal RNA (2834 nucleotides) under Staphylococcus aureus subsp. aureus Tager 104. Its description in RNAcentral is "bacterial LSU rRNA". It matches the Rfam family "Bacterial large subunit ribosomal RNA". The record is from RNAcentral. Lineage: Bacteria; Bacillati; Bacillota; Bacilli; Caryophanales; Staphylococcaceae.
GAUUAAGUUAUUAAGGGCGCACGGUGGAUGCCUUGGCACUAGAAGCCGAUGAAGGACGUUACUAACGACGAUAUGCUUUGGGGAGCUGUAAGUAAGCUUUGAUCCAGAGAUUUCCGAAUGGGGAAACCCAGCAUGAGUUAUGUCAUGUUAUCGAUAUGUGAAUACAUAGCAUAUCAGAAGGCACACCCGGAGAACUGAAACAUCUUAGUACCCGGAGGAAGAGAAAGAAAAUUCGAUUCCCUUAGUAGCGGCGAGCGAAACGGGAAGAGCCCAAACCAACAAGCUUGCUUGUUGGGGUUGUAGGACACUCUAUACGGAGUUACAAAGGACGACAUUAGACGAAUCAUCUGGAAAGAUGAAUCAAAGAAGGUAAUAAUCCUGUAGUCGAAAAUGUUGUCUCUCUUGAGUGGAUCCUGAGUACGACGGAGCACGUGAAAUUCCGUCGGAAUCUGGGAGGACCAUCUCCUAAGGCUAAAUACUCUCUAGUGACCGAUAGUGAACCAGUACCGUGAGGGAAAGGUGAAAAGCACCCCGGAAGGGGAGUGAAAUAGAACCUGAAACCGUGUGCUUACAAGUAGUCAGAGCCCGUUAAUGGGUGAUGGCGUGCCUUUUGUAGAAUGAACCGGCGAGUUACGAUUUGAUGCAAGGUUAAGCAGUAAAUGUGGAGCCGUAGCGAAAGCGAGUCUGAAUAGGGCGUUUAGUAUUUGGUCGUAGACCCGAAACCAGGUGAUCUACCCUUGGUCAGGUUGAAGUUCAGGUAACACUGAAUGGAGGACCGAACCGACUUACGUUGAAAAGUGAGCGGAUGAACUGAGGGUAGCGGAGAAAUUCCAAUCGAACCUGGAGAUAGCUGGUUCUCUCCGAAAUAGCUUUAGGGCUAGCCUCAAGUGAUGAUUAUUGGAGGUAGAGCACUGUUUGGACGAGGGGCCCCUCUCGGGUUACCGAAUUCAGACAAACUCCGAAUGCCAAUUAAUUUAACUUGGGAGUCAGAACAUGGGUGAUAAGGUCCGUGUUCGAAAGGGAAACAGCCCAGACCACCAGCUAAGGUCCCAAAAUAUAUGUUAAGUGGAAAAGGAUGUGGCGUUGCCCAGACAACUAGGAUGUUGGCUUAGAAGCAGCCAUCAUUUAAAGAGUGCGUAAUAGCUCACUAGUCGAGUGACACUGCGCCGAAAAUGUACCGGGGCUAAACAUAUUACCGAAGCUGUGGAUUGUCCUUUGGACAAUGGUAGGAGAGCGUUCUAAGGGCGUUGAAGCAUGAUCGUAAGAACAUGUGGAGCGCUUAGAAGUGAGAAUGCCGGUGUGAGUAGCGAAAGACGGGUGAGAAUCCCGUCCACCGAUUGACUAAGGUUUCCAGAGGAAGGCUCGUCCGCUCUGGGUUAGUCGGGUCCUAAGCUGAGGCCGACAGGCGUAGGCGAUGGAUAACAGGUUGAUAUUCCUGUACCACCUAUAAUCGUUUUAAUCGAUGGGGGGACGCAGUAGGAUAGGCGAAGCGUGCGAUUGGAUUGCACGUCUAAGCAGUAAGGCUGAGUAUUAGGCAAAUCCGGUACUCGUUAAGGCUGAGCUGUGAUGGGGAGAAGACAUUGUGUCUUCGAGUCGUUGAUUUCACACUGCCGAGAAAAGCCUCUAGAUAGAAAAUAGGUGCCCGUACCGCAAACCGACACAGGUAGUCAAGAUGAGAAUUCUAAGGUGAGCGAGCGAACUCUCGUUAAGGAACUCGGCAAAAUGACCCCGUAACUUCGGGAGAAGGGGUGCUCUUUAGGGUUAACGCCCAGAAGAGCCGCAGUGAAUAGGCCCAAGCGACUGUUUAUCAAAAACACAGGUCUCUGCUAAACCGUAAGGUGAUGUAUAGGGGCUGACGCCUGCCCGGUGCUGGAAGGUUAAGAGGAGUGGUUAGCUUAUGCGAAGCUACGAAUCGAAGCCCCAGUAAACGGCGGCCGUAACUAUAACGGUCCUAAGGUAGCGAAAUUCCUUGUCGGGUAAGUUCCGACCCGCACGAAAGGCGUAACGAUUUGGGCACUGUCUCAACGAGAGACUCGGUGAAAUCAUAGUACCUGUGAAGAUGCAGGUUACCCGCGACAGGACGGAAAGACCCCGUGGAGCUUUACUGUAGCCUGAUAUUGAAAUUCGGCACAGCUUGUACAGGAUAGGUAGGAGCCUUUGAAACGUGAGCGCUAGCUUACGUGGAGGCGCUGGUGGGAUACUACCCUAGCUGUGUUGGCUUUCUAACCCGCACCACUUAUCGUGGUGGGAGACAGUGUCAGGCGGGCAGUUUGACUGGGGCGGUCGCCUCCUAAAAGGUAACGGAGGCGCUCAAAGGUUCCCUCAGAAUGGUUGGAAAUCAUUCAUAGAGUGUAAAGGCAUAAGGGAGCUUGACUGCGAGACCUACAAGUCGAGCAGGGUCGAAAGACGGACUUAGUGAUCCGGUGGUUCCGCAUGGAAGGGCCAUCGCUCAACGGAUAAAAGCUACCCCGGGGAUAACAGGCUUAUCUCCCCCAAGAGUUCACAUCGACGGGGAGGUUUGGCACCUCGAUGUCGGCUCAUCGCAUCCUGGGGCUGUAGUCGGUCCCAAGGGUUGGGCUGUUCGCCCAUUAAAGCGGUACGCGAGCUGGGUUCAGAACGUCGUGAGACAGUUCGGUCCCUAUCCGUCGUGGGCGUAGGAAAUUUGAGAGGAGCUGUCCUUAGUACGAGAGGACCGGGAUGGACAUACCUCUGGUGUACCAGUUGUCGUGCCAACGGCAUAGCUGGGUAGCUAUGUGUGGACGGGAUAAGUGCUGAAAGCAUCUAAGCAUGAAGCCCCCCUCAAGAUGAGAUUUCCCAACUUCGGUUAUAAGAUC